GGAAUAUUGGACAAUGGGCGAAAGCCUGAUCCAGCCAUGCCGCGUGUGUGAAGAAGGUCUUCGGAUUGUAAAGCACUUUAAGUUGGGAGGAAGGGCAGUAAAUUAAUACUUUGCUGUUUUGACGUUACCGACAGAAUAAGCACCGGCUAACUCUGUGCCAGCAGCCGCGGUAAUACAGAGGGUGCAAGCGUUAAUCGGAAUUACUGGGCGUAAAGCGCGCGUAGGUGGUUUGUUAAGUUGAAUGUGAAAUCCCCGGGCUCAACCUGGGAACUGCAUCCAAAACUGGCAAGCUAGAGUAGGGCAGAGGGUGGUGGAAUUUCCUGUGUAGCGGUGAAAUGCGUAGAUAUAGGAAGGAACACCAGUGGCGAAGGCGACCACCUGGGCUCAUACUGACACUGAGGUGCGAAAGCGUGGGGAGCAAACAGGAUUAGAUACCCGAG
This 440-nucleotide ribosomal RNA is filed under the name uncultured Pseudomonas sp. RNAcentral's name for it is "bacterial SSU rRNA". It matches the Rfam family "Bacterial small subunit ribosomal RNA", at positions 358 to 790 of the family's 1533-position model. Lineage: Bacteria; Pseudomonadati; Pseudomonadota; Gammaproteobacteria; Pseudomonadales; Pseudomonadaceae. The record is from RNAcentral.